GAUGAACGCUGGCGGCGUGCCUAAUACAUGCAAGUCGAGCGAACAGAUGAGGAGCUUGCUCCUCUGACGUUAGCGGCGGACGGGUGAGUAACACGUGGAUAACCUACCUAUAAGACUGGGAUAACUUCGGGAAACCGGAGCUAAUACCGGAUAAUAUAUUGACCCGCAUGGUUCAAUAGUGAAAGACGGUUUUGCUGUCACUUAUAGAUGGAUCCGCGCCGCAUUAGCUAGUUGGUAAGGUAACGGCUUACCAAGGCAACGAUGCGUAGCCGACCUGAGAGGGUGAUCGGCCACACUGGAACUGAGACACGGUCCAGACUCCUACGGGAGGCAGCAGUAGGGAAUCUUCCGCAAUGGGCGAAAGCCUGACGGAGCAACGCCGCGUGAGUGAUGAAGGUCUUCGGAUCGUAAAACUCUGUUAUUAGGGAAGAACAAAUGUGUAAGUAACUAUGCACGUCUUGACGGUACCUAAUCAGAAAGCCACGGCUAACUACGUG
Molecule: ribosomal RNA, 497 nt
Filed under: uncultured bacterium
Lineage: Bacteria
Description: partial 16S ribosomal RNA
Rfam family: Bacterial small subunit ribosomal RNA
Source: RNAcentral